UACAGAGGUCUCAAGCGUUGUUCGGAUUCAUUGGGCGUAAAGGGUGCGUAGGCGGCGCGGUAAGUCGGGUGUGAAAUCUCGGAGCUUAACUCCGAAACUGCAUUCGAUACUGCCGUGCUUGAGGACUGGAGAGGAGACUGGAAUUUACGGUGUAGCGGUGAAAUGCGUAGAUAUCGUGAGGAAUACCAGAGGCGAAGGCGGCUACCUGGACAAUUGCUGACGCUCAGGCACGAAAGCGUGGGGAGCAAAAGGG
This 253-nucleotide ribosomal RNA is filed under the name uncultured bacterium. Its description in RNAcentral is "partial 16S ribosomal RNA". It matches the Rfam family "Bacterial small subunit ribosomal RNA", at positions 524 to 776 of the family's 1533-position model. The record is from RNAcentral.